UUAACCUAAUUCUUUUGAUUUUGGAGAAUUAAAAGCUUUUAUUAUAUUUAUACAUGUUAGUGCAAGCGAAUAAAUGAGUAAAAAUGAAAAUAUUUCAAUAUGCAUCAAAUUAAGUAAGAUUAAAUUUUAUUUAAUUUAAGACGCAAAACUUAAGUCAUGUAAGAACUGAAACAAAGUUUUAUUUACAGCAGUAAAGAAUUUUAAACAAUUGACGUUAGUCUGAUUUAGUAUAAUAAGUUAAUUUUGUCUAAUUAAGUGCCAGCAGACGCGGUUAUACUUAAAAAAUAAGUUUUUAAUAUACAAUACGUUAAAUCUGUAGGUUUUAAUAAAAUAUAAUUAGAUUGAGUUUGAAUAGGUUAAAUUAACAAACUCUUUUAUUUUAUAUUCAAAGAUAGAUUAUAAAUAAACUGAAAGAUGAAAGUAGAGAAACUAAACAGGAUUAGAUACCCUGGUAAGCUCUUCUGUUAAUAAAAAUAAUCGUUUACGUGAACAGUACGUCUAAUAAGAUAAAAAUCAAAAAUUUUGGCUGUUUAUUUUCUAAUUAGAGGAAUAUGUAUUUUAAUUUGAUAAUCCGCAAAAUACCUUACUUGUUUUUGAAAUUACAGGCACUGCAUGGUCGUCCUCAAUUUAAAUCUUUAAUUUAAAUAAAAUCCUAUCUAGGAUGAAGUCAGAUAGUAUGGUCCUGAUAAACAAGGAUAAUAUGUAUUACAAUUAUUAGAACAAUUUAAAUCUAAUAAUAAAAUUUAAUUGUAAAAAUAAAGGAAAGAGAAUUUAAUAGUAACUGAAUGUUAUAAUAAUUCAGUGAAUAAGUUCAAAUAUAAGUACAAAUUGCCCGUCGCCUUUCCUAAUAAUAGUAAUUAAAAGGAGAGUAAGUCGUAACAUAGUGGGAGAAAGGGAACUUUUUCCUGAAU
Molecule: ribosomal RNA, 911 nt
Filed under: Cladonema multiramosum
Lineage: Eukaryota; Metazoa; Cnidaria; Hydrozoa; Anthoathecata; Cladonematidae
Description: small subunit ribosomal RNA
Rfam family: Microsporidia small subunit ribosomal RNA (bases 186-911)
Source: RNAcentral